Molecule: ribosomal RNA, 450 nt
Filed under: uncultured bacterium
Lineage: Bacteria
Description: bacterial SSU rRNA
Rfam family: Bacterial small subunit ribosomal RNA
Source: RNAcentral
GUGGGGAAUAUUGGACAAUGGGCGAAAGCCUGAUCCAGCCAUGCCGCGUGUGUGAAGAAGGUCUUCGGAUUGUAAAGCACUUUAAGUUGGGAGGAAGGGCAGUAAGUUAAUACCUUGCUGUUUUGACGUUACCGACAGAAUAAGCACCGGCUAACUUCGUGCCAGCAGCCGCGGUAAUACGAAGGGUGCAAGCGUUAAUCGGAAUUACUGGGCGUAAAGCGCGCGUAGGUGGUUCAGCAAGUUGGAGGUGAAAUCCCCGGGCUCAACCUGGGAACUGCCUCCAAAACUACUGAGCUAGAGUACGGUAGAGGGUAGUGGAAUUUCCUGUGUAGCGGUGAAAUGCGUAGAUAUAGGAAGGAACACCAGUGGCGAAGGCGACUACCUGGACUGAUACUGACACUGAGGUGCGAAAGCGUGGGGAGCAAACAGGAUUAGAAACCCCAGUAGUCC